AAUUAAAAGGUCAUCAUAGAUUUCUUUCUGGUCACUCAACCUAUUCGAACAAAGGCAUGCUGAAGGAUAUUGCGCUAUGUGUGACAUUUUUGGAGCACGCACUGACAAGAAAGUUAUGAACUUUCCCUUUGGUUUCCAUUUUAUAAAGGCAAUUCUCUUUCUUGUGGGCUGUCCCGCAUGCUUGAGAAUUUUUUUAAAUUUGUUUCGAGAACUUACAAGUUCUCCAAACCAGAGCAAGUUUAUCAAUAUCACAUCUAUUUCCAAGGUCAGUGCUACCUACGUGGCCAUUUUGUUAUUUUUAUUUUCAUCCACACUGUGUACCAACCUAAACACUUCUGGAAAAGAUGAUUUAAUAUAAAAUAUCAUGUUUUCUGUGUGACACUAAUUGUCCAAAUUGUUUUGUAUAGGCAAUUCAUGAUUUUCUUAUUUUCAGGUCAAAAAUAAUUCUACUAUUGAUGGAAUUGAUUAUUUCAUAACUGACACUUUUGGUGAGGUGCUGUACGAAUCUUACAAGGAUGUAUAAUUUGGUACUAUGAAUACCAAAGUUAUAGACUUCAUCGGUGCAGGUGCUAAAAAUUUUGAGGGUAAAUUGUCUAUUCCCUGGUUCCUAACUUUUAAUAUGUGCAUAUGUGAAAAGAGGUCUGCAUGUCUUUACCCGACCAUCUCAGUAAGUGUAGUUUUUGGCUUUAUGAUACCAUUUUCAGGAGGGCCUAUUGCAUUUGGUUGAAGAGGUUAUACGUAUACAAACACAUUUUAACCGGCAGUUGUUUUCUAUUUUUUAUAGAGAAAGAAAGAGAAUUAGGGUGAUGUGGAUAACAAUAUGGUAUCUUUCAUCUAGUUUGUUAUUUGAAUAUUAUACUGACACUUGAUUUGGCAGAGUGGUAUGUGUUUAUUGGAAGGCAAGCACCACUUGUUGUUCCAGGAUAUCCUCGUGCAAUUAAUUUUAGACCAACUGCUCCUGAGUCAUCUGGAAUGAAACCUAUCAACGUGUCUACAUAUUCAUGCGGUGAUACAUCACUAGGCUGUUCAUGUGGUGAUCGCUCUUCAUCUUUUGUUUGCUUAAGUACAACUCCCCCUCUUACGCAGAUAGAAGGCUCUUGUUCAGUGAGAAUUGGGUCUCUGAAGGUGAAAAGAGGCCAAUUGUAUUGGGUCACAUUAUAUAUUUGCUUCAAUAAUUUAUACACAUGACGUGUCAGAUUGAAUUUCAUCUUUAAGAAUAACUUGUAAAAUUUGUCUUUGUUGCAUUGUUACAAUAGCAAGAAAUGUCACAAUUCUGUAUGUUGUACUAGUCUCCGUUUUUCUUGGGUGGGGCUUUCUCCAUAAAAAAAAGAAGAGACUCCAGUUUCCAGAGCAAAGCCAUUGAUUAGUAGCAUCAGUGCCACUGAAAAUGGUGUCAUCAGUGCCACUGGAAAUGGUGUCAUCCGCCAAAGCAGCAGAUGCUUGAAGAGGGCCCUCAAAUUUCAAGUGGUGUUCAACUCUAUAUUGUACAAGGAUAUAUGCCAAAGUUCUAUAGGUGAUUCACUAUGAUUUUAAUCAUUUAUAAGCAUUGAUUGGACGAGUAUUGUUCAUCCUGAAUGAAGUAUUUAUGUAAAUAAUCCCCCCUUUCCAGGAAAUAUGGAACAUGGGUGGCUAGAAAUCCAAUCCUUCUAUUGUGUUUAUCGUUUUUCAUUUUAAGUUGAGACAAGG
Capsicum annuum is the source of this 1686-nucleotide long non-coding RNA. RefSeq lists it as uncharacterized. The transcript has 4 exons. Lineage: Eukaryota; Viridiplantae; Streptophyta; Magnoliopsida; Solanales; Solanaceae. The record is from RefSeq and is a predicted model, not a curated record.